RNAcentral lists this microRNA precursor (76 nucleotides) under Myotis lucifugus (little brown bat). RNAcentral's name for it is "mir-9229 microRNA precursor family". It matches the Rfam family "mir-9229 microRNA precursor family". The record is from Rfam by way of RNAcentral. Lineage: Eukaryota; Metazoa; Chordata; Mammalia; Chiroptera; Vespertilionidae.
GAGACACCCCUAUGGAGCAGGACUUGCUUCAGUGGUGCUUUGGUGCUCACUGAGGCUGCUCCUUGCAUGUGUCGCU